GUGGGUAUCGUCACCCUCCAGCCCACCGCCGUGCCGGUCGUGUCCGAACUGCCGGGCCGCACCAAUGCCUUCCUCGUCGCGCAAGUGCGCGCACGGGUCGACGGCAUCGUGCUGCGCCGCGAGUUCACCGAAGGCAGCGUCGUGAAGGCAGGCCAGCGCCUGUACAAGAUCGA
Small RNA from Paraburkholderia tropica, 173 nucleotides. It matches the Rfam family "Burkholderia RNA 14". Rfam says of the family: Co-purified with Hfq, expression confirmed by Northern blot. NCBI's taxonomy places the organism in Bacteria, Pseudomonadati, Pseudomonadota, Betaproteobacteria, Burkholderiales, Burkholderiaceae. The record is from Rfam.